GAUGAACGCUGGCGGCGUGCUUAACACAUGCAAGUCGAACGGAAAGGCCCAAGCUUGCUUGGGUACUCGAGUGGCGAACGGGUGAGUAACACGUGGGUGAUCUGCCCUGCACUUCGGGAUAAGCCUGGGAAACUGGGUCUAAUACCGGAUAGGACGAUGGUUUGGAUGCCAUUGUGGAAAGUUUUUUCGGUGUGGGAUGAGCUCGCGGCCUAUCAGCUUGUUGGUGGGGUAAUGGCCUACCAAGGCGUCGACGGGUAGCCGGCCUGAGAGGGUGUACGGCCACAUUGGGACUGAGAGACGGCCCAGACUCCUACGGGGGGCAGCAAUGGGGAAUAUUGCACAAUGGGCGCAAGCCUGAUGCAGCGACGCCGCGUGGGGGAUGACGGCCUUCGGGUUGUAAACUCCUUUCGCUAGGGACGAAGCGUUUUUGUGACGGUACCUGGAGAAGAAGCACCGGCUAACUACGUG
This 468-nucleotide ribosomal RNA is filed under the name uncultured bacterium. RNAcentral's name for it is "partial 16S ribosomal RNA". It matches the Rfam family "Bacterial small subunit ribosomal RNA", at positions 28 to 507 of the family's 1533-position model. The record is from RNAcentral.